AGACACGUUCAGGCAUCGUUCAGGUAGCGCUUUUGAGCCACUUUGACGGUGCAAAGAGCGAAGGCAUCGGAGAAGGAGACGCGUCGCAGAAAGAUGAGUUUUCGCGUUUCUUGUGGGUUCUAGAUAUUUUUUUUCCAUAACUAUGUUAUGAGUUCCGGAUAUUAAUAUCCAUAUGCACCGCAGAUGAACAAAUCCAGAAGUCUUUUUUAUUAGGUCCGGAUUUGGAAAUCCAGAAUGUGUUUAUUGGGUGCUUUCAUCACCCUGAAGCAGUUUUGAGUCAAAUGUGGUACUAGUAAGUAAAAAUGCUUUUACCCAAGAAACAAAAACAUCCAAUUAUCAACGAUUUUAAGCUUGGAACUGAUAGGGAAGUAAAUCCAUAUUGUAUAACAAAAUCACUGAACCUAGUCUCCCAAUUUAACAGAGAUAAAAUAAUUGGUGAUCAAUCCAUCGUAAACCCUUCAUAAAUUGGGAGGGAGGUGUUUACCAAUGAGUGCAUAUACUAGUGGCCUGAUCGGACACCGUUGUCAUGUCGUAGAAAGAAGCAACCUCUGUUUCAGGGCAUUUGAAAAUCUGGAUUGAUUAUGUAUUAAGAACAUUAUUGUAAUAUUUGUAUCCAUGAACGAGGUUAUUGUUUGAACUUGAAUUUUAAGUAUAAUUUAACUUUAUUUUGACCUUAUGAAUACCUUUUAAUGUUGAUUUUACUUAUAUUCUUUAAAUUGGUUUGGUAUAGUGGUUUUAAUCCAUUAAAAGUAACAAAAUCAUCACACUUCCAAAAAAAAGUUCAGGAUGAUUGGCUUUCGGAUAUGUAUAUCCGGAAGCAUGAUGGUGUCUUCCAGAUAAAUAUGUUUGUAGUCAAAGAGUGUUAGUUCCGGAUACCAAUAUCCGUAAGCAAAGCUGACACUUCCGGAUGUCAAUAUUCGUAAGCAAAACUGACACUUCUGGAUGCCAAUAUCCAUAGGCAAAUAUGUGACUUCCAGAUAUUGACAUCCGUUAGCAAAUGUGUGCCAAGGGCAAAAUUGAAUUUAAAAAGUUAGCAUAUAAAAAAUAUAUGGUGGAGGAAGAAAAUGCCUUUAAUCUAUUCAUCCAAGUUCAAUCUCUCUAUAUGCAAAUAUGGAACAAAAUAAGUAACAAACAUAAAGCAUUAGUUUAUGUUAGAAUCGUAGAAAUUUGACUAAAUAAAAAGCAAAAUGGGGGAUAAGGGUCACCCCAUGGCCAUGUAAUUCGUGAUGAGAUGGCUGCUGCAUGUAAGUUGGGAACAUCCCACAAGAAAAUGUUAGGAGGCGUAGGUGGUGAACCCCACAACACAAGCAAUGAGAGACAAUAUCACUGUUAUAGAAAUACCUCAAAUAAAUUUAUAUCAUUAAAGUAAUCAGAUAUCAAAUAAAAAGUAAUAGCAACUCGUAUCCAUUAUAAAAUCCGAUUAUUAAUUCUACGUCUUGUAAUCAAGCAAAAGUUCAUAAUUAAAACUUCCAUAAAUUCUCCUACUUACCUAUACCAUGUGGAAGUAGUUAUAGAAUUUCACAGAAUCAUUCGGUCUCGAUGUUACAUGAAGAACACUAGUUAGAUGAAGAAAAAAAGAAACCUAGGAUGUAGAAGAUUAUAAUAUCUGGAAUCCUAUAAAUCACAGGUGGUCUUUGUAAUAUGAAAAAACAUUAUAAAUUAUAUAUAAUUUUGGAUUAUGCAAUCUUCUGAACAUA
This 1697-nucleotide long non-coding RNA is filed under the name Phaseolus vulgaris (common bean). RNAcentral describes it as "long non-coding RNA (PVUL_LNC003975)". Lineage: Eukaryota; Viridiplantae; Streptophyta; Magnoliopsida; Fabales; Fabaceae. The record is from RNAcentral.